UACGUAGGGUGCAAGCGUUGUCCGGAAUUAUUGGGCGUAAAGAGCGUGUAGGCGGCCACACAGGUCUGCUGUGAAAACUCGAGGCUCAACCUCGAGACGCCGAUGGAAACCAUUUGGCUAGAGUCCGGAAGAGGAGAGUGGAAUUCCUGGUGUAGCGGUGAAAUGCGCAGAUAUCAGGAAGAACACCCGUGGCUAAGGCGGCUCUCUAGUACGGUACUGACGCUGAGACGCGAAAGCGUGGGGAGCGAACAGG
This 253-nucleotide ribosomal RNA is filed under the name uncultured bacterium. Its description in RNAcentral is "partial 16S ribosomal RNA". It matches the Rfam family "Bacterial small subunit ribosomal RNA", at positions 524 to 776 of the family's 1533-position model. The record is from RNAcentral.